This 2550-nucleotide long non-coding RNA is filed under the name Olea europaea subsp. europaea. The record is from RNAcentral. Lineage: Eukaryota; Viridiplantae; Streptophyta; Magnoliopsida; Lamiales; Oleaceae.
AAAAACCUUAACACCUCUCAUUCUGAUUCCUUUUUCACGUGCAUGAAAUUUGAAAUAAUGUCUGAUAUGUGUAUGUAAAUGGUGUUUGUGCAACAAUCGUAAUACGUUGAGCAGGGACUGAAUCCUCUAAUGUCUGUCUUCGCUAUAUUGUUGGCAGUGCGACAUAUGCUGCAAGAUAAGAUAAUACACUGCUGAAUUUUUCGCUUACCCUUCCAACAUUUGAUUUCUUUGAGAUUGUACAUUACUUAAUUUUAUUAUAUUCUCAAGUAACAAGUUCCAGACAUUUCAUAUUUAUUUUUGAUCUUGUGUUUUCUGUUCUGUGGUAUACUUGUUAGCAGCUUAAAGUGGUCGAAGAUAAGACCCAAUCUGCCAUGUGCUCCUUGAUACUUUUGUAUCCUUUAUUGCAUGUCUACACGAGAGUUUCCAUAUUCGUAUUAUAUUAUAAUUCUUUCUGGUAUUGUGUGCCAUCCAUCUUGAACAUAAAGAAAGAUCUGAGUAGGUAGAUAUCACUGUAUAUUAUAUUAAGGGAAAAUUUCAUAACUAAGAAAUUAAUUAUGGCAUAUUUCAAAAACAAGAAAACAAGUUUCAAGUUUCAAAAAUCAGAUUUUUAUUAAAAAUUAUUUAUAAUUUAAUUAAUUUAGUAAUUUAAUAUAUUUAAGUCACUGAUUUAUAUAAUUUGAUCACAAAUUAACGAUUUAAUUCAUCACUUAUUAUUUUUUUGUCACAAAUCAGAAAUUUUAUGUCACAAAUUAUUUUACGGUUACAAUUCAAAAAUUUUAUAGGUCACAGUUUGUUCAUUGGUCACAAAUCGAAAAUUUAUACGCUACAAUUUAUUUAUAGGUCACAGAUCUUAAAUACUAUAGAUCACAAAUUAUUAAUUUUUUAGGUCACAAAUUAACAAUUGAAUUCAUCACUUAUUAUUUUUUUUGUCACAAAUCAGAAGUUUUAUGUUACAAAUUAUUUUACGGUCACAAUUUAAAAAUUUUAUAGGUCACAAUUUGUUCAUUGGUCACAAAUUAUUAAUUUUUUAGGUCACAAAUUAACAAUUUAAUUCAUCACUUAUUAUUUUUUGGUCACAAAUCAAAAAUUUUAUGUCACAAAUUAUUUUACGGUUACAAAUUCAAAAAUUAUAAUUUAUUUAUAGGUCACAAAUCAUAAAUACUAUAGGUCACAAUUUAUCUUAUUGGUCACGUAUUAUUUAUUAGUCACGUAUUAACCAAUUUAAUGAUCACAAUUAACAAAUUAAUCUGUGACCACCACCAAACAAUCACCCUCCAAACACCUCUGCCUGCACUAUCAUCACCCUACAUCAAACACCACGACCAAAAACAAAUCAACACAUCCGAGACCAUAACCACCAACAGUUCACUGUCACCGCCGCACCCACUACCACGACCACUGUCUCUACCUCCACGACCACCGUACCACACAACAGCACCACCAGCAAAACCAAAACCACCACAACCACACGCACCGCCCCCACCAGAAAAAAUCCCCAAUCUGCCACUGGACUCUACCACCAUCCCACCGCCCGUAUCAACAACCGCCACCACUCGUAUCACCAAUGAAACACUGCCGCCAAUGCCAAAUCACUGCACGACCACCACGAGACACCACAAAACGGUGAGAAAAACCACCUGUAAACACCACUAUACCACAAACACCAUCACUGCCAUGCGCAUGGCAGCAGCCAGAUCUAUAGCUGGAGUUCCAUUUAAGGUGGGCAAGCAACGAACUGAGAGCAGUGGGAUCGACCAAAUCUGUGGCACCACAACCACGAUCUGCAAUGGCGAAGAAAGAAAUAGGAUAUUGACGAUGGUGCUGCGUGCGGUGGAGAGAGAGACGGCCAGUGGCUUGACGUGCUUUUAGGAGACUAUGACCAUCGUCAAUCGGUGAAGGCGCAGAGAGAGACGGCGUCAUCUCCACCUGAAGAGAGAGAAAGGAGAGAAUGAGGCGAGAGAGAGAGAGAGUUAGGGUUUGUGAGUAAAAUUAUUUAUUUUAUAAAAUAUUAAUUAGAAUAAAAUUUCUGAUUUUUGAAAGGUUGAACUUGCCCCCCGAUUUUAGAAUUGAGAAUUUUAAUGAUAGGGUUUCGUGUAAUUACCACUUAUAUUAAGCCCCUGUUUGGGCUCCACUUUUUCAAAAAAAAAAAAAAUUUCCCGAAACUGAGUUUUAACCACACGUUCUUUCAUAAAAUAAUAUUACAUGUAAACCCAAAAUAUUUUCUUAUUUUGUAACCACACAUUCUUCAAAAAUCACCAUUCCUAAAAUACUUUUAUCUCAAAUUCUAAUUAAAAUGGAGCCAAACAAGGGCUAAGUGUUCGCUACUUCCUUAAUUUCUUGGUCAGAUAAUGAUUCAAUUUAUCUAUUACGGCUAUCGAUCAUCCAAAGAUGUUGAGAAGAAAUAUAGCUCGAAUGGACAAUGAUAAACAACACAAUUAGAGGUAAUUUGUGCACCUCUUCAAUUGUGUUGUCUGACAAUAUAUCGUCUAUUUGUAAGGGAAAAAGAUAUAUAUACACCCAAUUCCUUACUGAAUGUUUUACACUCUUUCA